This 491-nucleotide ribosomal RNA is filed under the name uncultured bacterium. RNAcentral describes it as "partial 16S ribosomal RNA". It matches the Rfam family "Bacterial small subunit ribosomal RNA", at positions 29 to 507 of the family's 1533-position model. The record is from RNAcentral.
GUGAACGCUGGCGGUAGGCCUAACACAUGCAAGUCGAACGGCAGCACAGUAAGAGCUUGCUCUUACGGGUGGCGAGUGGCGGACGGGUGAGGAAUACAUCGGAAUCUACUUUUUCGUGGGGGAUAACGUAGGGAAACUUACGCUAAUACCGCAUACGACCUACGGGUGAAAGCAGGGGAUCUUCGGACCUUGCGCGAUUGAAUGAGCCGAUGUCGGAUUAGCUAGUUGGCGGGGUGAAGGCCCACCAAGGCGACGAUCCGUAGCUGGUCUGAGAGGAUGAUCAGCCACACUGGAACUGAGACACGGUCCAGACUCCUACGGGAGGCAGCAGUGGGGAAUAUUGGACAAUGGGCGCAAGCCUGAUCCAGCCAUACCGCGUGGGUGAAGAAGGCCUUCGGGUUGUAAAGCCCUUUUGUUGGGAAAGAAAAGCAGCAGGUUAAUACCCCGCUGUUCUGACGGUACCCAAAGAAUAAGCACCGGCUAACUUCGUG